UAUACUUAAGUGUAUUUGAGCACGAAGAAUUUUGAGUUCUUAAGGUUAAGUUCAUUACUUAAAAGUAUAA
Molecule: transfer RNA, 70 nt
Filed under: Diplonychus rusticus
Lineage: Eukaryota; Metazoa; Arthropoda; Insecta; Hemiptera; Belostomatidae
Also listed under: 1 other name
Description: tRNA-Gln
Source: RNAcentral